UCCUACGGGGAGCAGCAGUGAGGAAUAUUGGUCAAUGGGAGAGAUCCUGAACCAGCCAAGCCGCGUGAGGGGAGACGGCCCUAUGGGUUGUAAACCUCUUUUGUCGGAGAACAAAACCCGGGACGUGUCCCGGACUGCGUGUAUCCGAAGAAAAAGCAUCGGCUAACUCCGUGCCAGCAGCCGCGGUAAUACGGAGGAUGCGAGCGUUAUCCGGAUUUAUUGGGUUUAAAGGGUGCGUAGGCGGUCCGUUAAGUCAGCGGUAAAAUUGGGGGGCUCAACCCCGACGAGCCGUUGAAACUGGCAGG
RNAcentral lists this ribosomal RNA (305 nucleotides) under uncultured bacterium. Its description in RNAcentral is "bacterial SSU rRNA". It matches the Rfam family "Bacterial small subunit ribosomal RNA", at positions 337 to 640 of the family's 1533-position model. The record is from RNAcentral.